GUGGGGAAUAUUGCACAAUGGGGGAAACCCUGAUGCAGCAACGCCGCGUGAGUGAAGAAGUAUUUCGGUAUGUAAACUUCUAUCAGCAGGGAAGAAAAUGACGGUACCUGACUAAGAAGCCCCGGCUAACUACGUGCCAGCAGCCGCGGUAAUACGUAGGGGGCAAGCGUUAUCCGGAUUUACUGGGUGUAAAGGGAGCGUAGACGGUAUGGCAAGUCUGAUGUGAAAGGCCGGGGCUCAACCCCGGGACUGCAUUGGAAACUGUCGGACUGGAGUGCCGGAGGGGUAAGCGGAAUUCCUAGUGUAGCGGUGAAAUGCGUAGAUAUUAGGAGGAACACCAGUGGCGAAGGCGGCUUACUGGACGGUAACUGACGUUGAGGCUCGAAAGCGUGGGGAGCAAACAGG
RNAcentral lists this ribosomal RNA (405 nucleotides) under uncultured bacterium. RNAcentral describes it as "bacterial SSU rRNA". It matches the Rfam family "Bacterial small subunit ribosomal RNA", at positions 354 to 776 of the family's 1533-position model. The record is from RNAcentral.